Molecule: ribosomal RNA, 334 nt
Filed under: uncultured Actinomycetes bacterium
Lineage: Bacteria; Bacillati; Actinomycetota; Actinomycetes
Description: bacterial SSU rRNA
Rfam family: Bacterial small subunit ribosomal RNA
Source: RNAcentral
GACGAACGCUGGCGGCGCGCCUAAUGCAUGCAAGUCGAGCGACGCACAUCGGAGGGGUAACCCACCGGUAUGACGGAGCGGCGAACGGGUGAGUAACACGUGAGCAACCUGCCCCACAGACCGGGAUAGCCCAGGGAAACUUGGAUUAAUACCGGAUAUCCUCUCGGAACCACAUGGUCCUGCGAGGAAAUGCCUUUGUGCUGUGGGAUGGGCUCGCGGCUUAUCAGCUAGUUGGUGGGGUAACGGCCUACCAAGGCAUCGACGAGUAGCUGGUCUGAGAGGACGAUCAGCCACACUGGGACUGAGACACGGCCCAGACACCUACGGGUGGCUG